Molecule: ribosomal RNA, 496 nt
Filed under: uncultured bacterium
Lineage: Bacteria
Description: partial 16S ribosomal RNA
Rfam family: Bacterial small subunit ribosomal RNA
Source: RNAcentral
AUGCACGCUGGCGGCGUGCCUAAUACAUGCAAGUCGAGCGAACAGACGAGGAGCUUGCUCCUCUGACGUUAGCGGCGGACGGGUGAGUAACACGUGGAUAACCUACCUAUGAGACUGGGAUAACUUCGGGAAACCGGAGCUAAUACCGGAUAAUAUAUUGAACCGCAUGGUUCAAUAGUGAAAGACGGUUUUGCUGUCACUUAUAGAUGGAUCCGCGCCGCAUUAGCUAGUUGGUAAGGUAACGGCUUACCAAGGCAACGAUGCGUAGCCGACCUGAGAGGGUGAUCGGCCACACUGGAACUGAGACACGGUCCAGACUCCUACGGGAGGCAGCAGUAGGGAAUCUUCCGCAAUGGGCGAAAGCCUGACGGAGCAACGCCGCGUGAGUGAUGAAGGUCUUCGGAUCGUAAAACUCUGUUAUUAGGGAAGAACAAAUGUGUAAGUAACUAUGCACGUCUUGACGGUACCUAAUCAGAAAGCCACGGCUAACUACGUG